UACUUCUAACAGAAGCAGUCCCUUCUGGGUUAGGUUAGGUGGAGGUGCAGAGUUGUCGCGUAGCUGGCGUACGGUGUCGAGGGCGCAGGGCGUGGCGGCCGAUCGUCGCGGACGGCGCGGGAACGCAGUCCAACGUUCUACCUGCCUCAUUGAGCAUGAUGGUCGGAUGAGAGAGACUAGCCCUCUUAGGUGUUCGUCGAUAGUUCGUUUGAGAAGCAGUGGCUAAGUUGCUAAGUUGAACUAACGUACCUCAAUUUGGCAUAUGUUGCGACCGGCAGCUACAGAACAGUCCGCAGUCAUGUAGGGGACAGGUAGGAGUUGUCCUAGUGUAUGGUGAUGGUCUAAGUCUACCGGUGGUACAUGCGGAAGCGGCUGCGGCCGAGGCGGCGGUAGCUCUUCCCGGCGCGCCGACACGAGCGUGUCAUGACGCGGAAACGUCCGGUCGAGGAGUUCACAGGGCCGUUGCACGGCCACACCCCAGGAUUUGCUGACGUCGCACGCACGCGAGAAGGUCAGGAGUCAUGCACGGGUUGGCGUUUCAGACGCCGACAGGCGCUGUACCUUUCUCUCUUCGACGUGGUUGCAGGUCGUGGGGCGGCUGGCUGCUUGGGGCGGUAGGCGGCGCAGGCCUCGACCGGAGGUGAGACCUAGACAGCAGGGGUAGUUGUGUUCGGUGGCGUGGGAGGACUAGCGGUCAGGGCUACACGUCGGCGGCGGCUGUAUCAGAUGGAGCUAGUAGCGGGGCCGGGGAGGGACGGACGGAGAUACACCACACAAGUAGCGGCCGUCGUGCUCGUGGGACGGCCGACGGCUGGCAGCUUAGGGCGGUAGGCGGCGCAGACCUAACCAACCUGGGCGGCGGGGAGGCCGGACGUGCGGCCUCGAGACCGGAAGCGGCGGCGGCGGCGGCGGCGGCUAGAAGAAGAGGCCGGUAGGCGGUUGGAGGAUAAGAGGAAGGGGAGGGGUUGGGCGUGGGAGGAGUUAGAGGUUGGAGGAUGUGGACACAGCACGAAGAGACGAAACCUAGCUCAACCGGGCUAGCUGGGGUAGCGGCUACGGUUCCAGCGGCCAGGUAGCAGGACGAGGUGAGCACACGCGGGAGCUGCGUCUGCGAGGGACUAGGAAAAACGGCGGCGGCGGCGGCAGCCGGAGGCAGUGGUGCGCGGGGGAAACUCGUGUGACCUACGUUAGAGCGUACCGCGGCAGUAGGCGUGACACAAACUACUUUACGGGUUGGUGUGGUUGUUGCGCUUAAAUCUAUAUGUACCACCUUAGUUGCUCGCAACAACCCUCAAACUACAACGCCAUCCGGAGCCGUCACCGUUCGACCCUCGGCCGCUCCAUCCGCUGUAGCAGCUGCUGCCGGCAGUACCGGAGGUGGACACGGGAGAACGUCCACCUGACGACCAUCCGGUUCGACAACUGCUCCUAGGCUGCCGCUGGUGGUUCCCCUCCUACUAGCGUAUACCUUUUAUGACGAGGUACCAACAAGAAAGUCCAACAUUAGACGACCACGCCACGACGGGACGAAACUAAACCCCUAAGUAGACCCUAGAUUAAAACUGGCUUGUUUCGACCAAACAACCGACGGCCGACCACAGUGGACUACAAUUUCAACGUAAAAGUCAGCCUGUGUACAAACAACAAAACGGACGAAAAAAGAACUGACGCGUGAGAGCGGCAAGCAGCAGCACGUUACAACUUCAAUAAGUACGCCACCCCACCUACUUUGUUAGGAAGACGAUAACGGUGACGAAGGCAAGUAGUUCUAUAAACAGGUACGUAUAGAAGAACUACUUGUCUGUAUUUUGGAACCUACGGGUAUUUAUACAAUCCAGACGUCGUUGUGACUUAGAAAAGGUUACCUAUUCCAACGAAGAACGGCUACUGAGGAACCGGAGAGGAAGCUAACUGUCCUACGACUUCGAUGUGGUAGCGGCUACCGGGGAACCGAAGAGAAUAGGCUAACCAUCCGACGACGUCGAUGGUUGGUUUAUGUAGGUGUUCUCUGUAUCUUCUCUCGGCUUUUAUGGGGUACCAAAACAACUACCUCCUACU
RNAcentral lists this ribosomal RNA (2058 nucleotides) under Triticum aestivum (bread wheat). RNAcentral's name for it is "partial small subunit ribosomal RNA". Lineage: Eukaryota; Viridiplantae; Streptophyta; Magnoliopsida; Poales; Poaceae. The record is from RNAcentral.